Small nuclear RNA from Eublepharis macularius, 171 nucleotides. RefSeq annotates it as U1 spliceosomal RNA. NCBI's taxonomy places the organism in Eukaryota, Metazoa, Chordata, Lepidosauria, Squamata, Eublepharidae. The record is from RefSeq and is a predicted model, not a curated record. The transcript has a single exon.
AUACUUACCUGGCAGGGGAGACACCAUGAUCACGAAGGUGGUUUUCCCAGGGUGAGGUUCAUCCAUUGUACUCUGGGUGUGCUGACCCCUGCGAUUUCCGGGAAAUGUAAAGUAAAAGGGAUGAAUAAUGGAGCACAAAUUUAAUUCAGAAACCCUUUGGCUAUAUUCUCA